AUACAUACAAAUAAAUACCAAUUUGUUAAAAUCAGCUAGUUCAGGAAGUAAAAACUAGGGUAAGAAGAAAAAUUUUAUAUAGAAAUUGAUGAUUGAGCUGCAUCUUGAACAGGGGCAAACUGGUAACCAUUUAAGAAUUGGAUUUUCACAGAAAUGGCCAAUUUAUUUUUGAGUUUAAUCUCAUUAACAUUUUCUCCAUCAUUUUCUUAGGUCUAGAUAACAAUAAACCAUAAAACAAACCCUAAUUUUGUAGCCUUUACUAAUUUCUGAGGUAUAUAAGUUCAUAUUGUAAAGAAAACAAUCAGGUGAGGGUGGGAAGGCCCACAAACCAGCUCCAGCCUACCACUGAUUUGAAAGAAAAGAGAAAUUCUAUAUGGUGAAGGUAAGUAGAGAAGGGCACAAUGCUAGGUGGCACAGUAGAUAGCGUUCCAGGCCUAGAGUAAGGAAAAUGGUUCUUCCUGAGUUCAAAUCUGGCCUGGGUGAACCUGGACAAGUCACUUAAUUUUAUUUGUCUCAGUUUCCUUAUCUGUAAAAUGAGCUCGGAAAAAAAUGGCAAAUCACUUUCAAAUCUUUGCCAAGAAAACCCCCUAAAUGGUCAUAAAGAGUUGGACACGACUGAAACAACAAAACAACAAAGGAGAGAAGGCAUUCCAAUCAUGGGAACAGACAAUGCAAAGGGACAAAGAUGUGAUGUCAUUUGAAAUAAUCUUUGUAAGGCAUUUAGCAUAGUACCUGGCAUAUAGUAGGUACUUAAUAAAUUCUUAUUCCUUUCCAGCUCCCUUCCCUUAAUGUGCGGGGAAUAUUGAAUUUCAGAGUAGUGAAAUAUCCUCUUAACUCAAUUUCCCUUUCUCAAAAGUGGGGAUAUUUGCCAGAUAUUAUCCUAUUUUGAUGUUUCUCAGAGAGUUUGGGUCUUUGCCACAAAAAAGCUGGUUGAUUCCAGAAGGGGUUUCUGCUCAGAGGAAGAACACACAGGUUGUAAUCACUCAAAGAAUUUUCAGCAAUUCAGCCUUUAGUUCAGUUUCCUUCUUCAUAGCAUCUUUUCUCACAGGCAGUUAAGAAAAGAAAAUUAAACAGAUACAAAUUCACCUCUGUACAUUUCUCUUUUCUCCCAUAUGGAAAAGAUUUUGGUGAAUAGGAACAUGCCACAAAGAUGAGUAGCCUUAUCAAGCCUUUGGAUAACCCACAAUCGGGAUGGUUGACAUCUAAAUAGUAGUAUUCUGGACUUGGAAUCUGAAAGUUCUGGGUUCUGGAUUCAAAUCUCACCUCUAAUAUUUACUGGCUAUAUUACCACAGACAAAUCAUUUAAUUGAGGUUCAGAGCAUCAGUUUACACAUAACAGAUAUAAUUAUUUCUAAAGUCUACCUCCUAGGAUAACAUGAAUGUCAGCUGUUGAUAUAACAAGUUGCUAAUGACCAACACUGAUGACUUUGGUGAAGUUGUGAAAAGACCCAACCAUUCUGGAGAGCAAUUUGGAACUAUACCCAACGACCUCUCAAAGUGUGCAUAUCCUUUGAUCCAGCAGUGUCUAUCUGGGUCUGUAUCCCAAAGACAUCCUAAAAGGGGGGAAAAGGACCCACAUGUGCAAAAAUGUAUGUAGCAAAAAGUGAGUGGAAGCCCAUCAGUUGGGGAAUGGCUGAAAAAGCUAUAUGAAAGUAAUGGAAUAUAAUUGUUCAACAAGAAAUGAGCAGGAUGAUUUCAGAAAAGUUUGGAAAGUCUUAAAUGAACUGAUGCUGAGUGAAAUGAGCAGAACCAAGAGAAUACUGUAGACACUAACAGCAAGAUUAUGUGACAGUCAACUGUGAUGGACUUGGCUCUUUUCAACAAUGAGGUGAUUCAAAGCAAUUCCAAUAGACUUGGGGUGGAAAAUGUCAUCUGCAGUAAGAGAAGGAACUAUGGAGACUGAGUGUGGAUGAAAUCAUAGUGUUUUCAUCUUUUUGUUGUUGGUGUUUGCUUUUUUCCUUUCUCAUAUUUUUCCCCCCUUUGAUCUGAUUUUUCUUGCACAACAUGACAAAUAUGGAAAUGAAUUGUGCAUAUUUAAUCUAUAUCAGAUUGUUUGCUGUCUUGUGGAGGGGCAAGGGAGGGAGGGAGAAAAAAUUUGGAACAUAAAAAUUUUACAGAAAUUUAGUUGAAAAUUAUCUUUAUAUGUAUUGGAAAAAUAAAAUACUAUUGAAAGCCAGAUAUUGAUGUCAGUAAUCCAGCCAAUGGCUCUUUGAUUACAGACUUUGUUGUUGUUUUUUUCCUAAUUCUUCCUUCUUUUUAGGAGACAUUAUACAUUUUUCAAAGCAUUCCACUACACCAAUAAAUACCAGAACUAAGGUAAAUGCCAAUGAGUAAGUAGGGUUAGGAAGGAAGGUCAUAGUUGAAAGACAAAUCUAAACCAAAAAACUAGGCCGGUUGGUGGCAGGGUGACUAUAAAGUACCAAGAUCCAAGGGACUAAGAGAAAUGAGAAACUCAUUAUUGAUUUACAGCUUCAGAGCCAAGAAGCUAGGACCAGAUUAGGAAGCUAAGAUGCCAGGGACUCAUUAUUUGUUUGAUCCAACCUGCUCCACUUUACUUUCACUUAGCCAUUGUAUGGUACUAAAUGUUCUGCUAGGAUGCACAAUUUGCUUAGAUAUAAGACCAUGUGGGCUUUUGUUAUAUCUGAGUUCUUAUCCAGAUACUUACUAGCUGUGUGAACCUGGGCAAAUCACUUUACUCAUAUGCUUCAGUUUCCUCAUCUGUAAAAUGGGGAUAAAUAACAGUAAUUACCUCCCAGGGUUGUUUUAAGGAACAAAUAUUUGCAAAGUGCUUAGCAAAAUGCCUCUAGGUUCUAUAUAAAUAUUAAAUAUUACCCCCCCCCCAUUUUUAGGAAACAUCCAGAUUCUUAGCUCCUGAUCCCAUAGGAUGCUUGGAUCCUUUUCCCUGUCCUUGCCAGAGGAUGCUGACAUUGCAGAGUUAAGUCAACACUGAACCUGCCUCAGUCUAGAAUAUCCUACUAAAGAGAGUCGCCCUGUCAGAGUGACUUAUUACCAAGGAGCUCUCCUGACCCUGCAAUCACAGAUAUCAUUAUUAAGUUCCACAUCAUUAACUCUUAGGGCCCAAUCCCUUUUGCUCAGUUGAAGAGAGCAGGAUGCUACCCUGAGACUCAGGAUUAUUUCUUUCCCCCAUCUCUGCUUCUGAUUCCCUAAUAACCCAUCCAACCAAUUCUUGUCUCACAUAUAUCCUCUUCUUAAUUCAUCACCUGGAGCAGCAACUUGGAGACUAAAGUUUUCAGCCCAUGUAGAAUUAAUAGCAAGCUUAGGAAGUAUGCACAAAAAUACAUAGGGCAGCACCCACCAAGAAACCCUGAGUUGGUUAGCUAAUGUAUCCAUAUGAAGCUGCCAUGGUGGAAAGUGUUGGCCUGAAGAGUCAAGAGAUCUGUGUUCAAAUUCUGAUUCUAGCAGUCGUUUUUCAGUCAUGGCCAUCUCUUUAUGAUCUUAUUUGGGCCUUUUUGGCAGAAAUAUUGGAAUAGUUUGUUAUUUCCUUUCCCAGAUCAUUUUAUAGAUGAGGAAACUCAGACAAACGUGGUUAAGCGUUGCCCAAGGUCACCAUACUAGUUUCUGGGGCUGGAUUUGAACUCAAUAAGAUGACUCAUCCUAACUUUAGGUUUAGCAUUCCAUCCACUGAACCAACUGGUUCAACACCGACUAGCUACAUGUCAAUGAGAAAGUCACAAUCUCUCAAUUUUCUCUUCUGUAAAACAGGGAUAUUAUUGACAGUGCCCUACUUCUCACAUUCUUAUUGUGAGGAAAAUGCUUGGUGAUUCUUAAUUCUUAGAAAAAUUACUAUUUCUCUAAUUCGGAGUUAUUAUUUAUUGUGUCUGUGUGACAAGACUAUAGCCAUAUUAGUGCAUCUGGGGAACCAUGUAGAAGGGUCCUCCCACCACAGUCACUUCUAUAUCUGUGCACCACUUAAGUAUUUAUGGGGUCUUAUUUACUCAACAUUUAAUUUGCACAUGUUUAACCUAUAUUGGUUCACUUGCUGUCUAGGGGAGAGGAGGUGGGGGGAAAACUGAAACACAAGGUUUUGCAAAGGUGAAUGUUGAAAAUUAUCUUUAUGUGUACAAUUAUUAAUAAUCUCUCCCAAAAAAGACAGGUUAUCUC
Long non-coding RNA from Sarcophilus harrisii (Tasmanian devil), 4122 nucleotides. The record is from Ensembl. Lineage: Eukaryota; Metazoa; Chordata; Mammalia; Dasyuromorphia; Dasyuridae.